RNAcentral lists this long non-coding RNA (613 nucleotides) under Sorghum bicolor (sorghum). RNAcentral's name for it is "long non-coding RNA (SBIC_LNC006253)". Lineage: Eukaryota; Viridiplantae; Streptophyta; Magnoliopsida; Poales; Poaceae. The record is from RNAcentral.
ACCCUACUCUAAUAAGGCUUUUGAUAUCUUGAGCUCAUAGGUGGGAGAUAAAGUAUACAUACUUAUUGCAUAGUCAAACCAUGGAUCCAAAUAAACAAAUCAUAAGUCAAAUCAAGAUGUUAUGUGUGGCGAAUGAAUGAUAUAUGGUGAUGAUGGUGAUAACAAUGGUGAAAGUCUAAUUCUACUUUUGCUCUCUUGAGGGGAUACAUACCUUUCUUGCUCUUUUGAAACUUUUUGAGGAGAAUGAGAUGCUCUACAUUUUUUUCUUUCCUCAGGUGGGCAUUUUGUACCCCUAAUUCUACUGUCGGACACUUGUCCAUUUUUACCUCUCGUCUCACUUUUUCUUUUCUUUCGAGGUUCUGGGCACUUGCCCCUUUUUAUUUCCUCGUAUCUCUUUUUUUUAGAGCACUCAUCUCAUGAGAUAAUAUAGCAAGUGGUAGUAACCAAGGUAACUUGAGCAUUUAUUUAACAGGGGGAAAAUAGAAAUAUUUUUGCAUAUUCUCUCCCGGAUAAGGAGUAGAAUAUUUUUGGGUGGUUCUGGAGAUAGAAAUGGGUGGAUAUAUGUGGAUGCGUACUUCCGGAGUAGAAAGCAGCAUAUGUGAGUGAACGUGCA